Molecule: transfer RNA, 73 nt
Filed under: Penaeus vannamei (Pacific white shrimp)
Lineage: Eukaryota; Metazoa; Arthropoda; Malacostraca; Decapoda; Penaeidae
Description: transfer RNA arginine (anticodon UCG)
Rfam family: tRNA
About the family: Transfer RNA (tRNA) molecules are approximately 80 nucleotides in length.
Source: Rfam by way of RNAcentral
GACCGCGUGGCCGAGUGGAUAAGGUUUCGGACUUCGGAUCCGUAGUACGCAGGUUCGAAUCCUGCCGCGGUCU